UACGUAGGGUCCGAGCGUUGUCCGGAUUUAUUGGGCGUAAAGAGCUCGUAGGCGGCUCAGUAAGUCGGAUGUGAAAACUCGGGGCUCAACCCCGAGACGCCAUCCGAUACUGCUGUGGCUUGAAUCUGGUAGGGGAGCACGGAAUUCCUGGUGUAGCGGUGAAAUGCGCAGAUAUCAGGAGGAACACCGGCGGCGAAGGCGGCAUCCUGGACCAAUACUGACGCUGAGGAGCGAAAGCCAGGGGAGCAAACGGG
RNAcentral lists this ribosomal RNA (254 nucleotides) under uncultured bacterium. RNAcentral describes it as "partial 16S ribosomal RNA". It matches the Rfam family "Bacterial small subunit ribosomal RNA", at positions 524 to 776 of the family's 1533-position model. The record is from RNAcentral.